UUGAUAGAAGCCAAAUAGAGGCGUAUCUCUGUUAAUGAUAUAAUUGGAUUCUGUUCCUAUCAAG
This 64-nucleotide transfer RNA is filed under the name Parastacus brasiliensis. Its description in RNAcentral is "tRNA-Asn". The record is from RNAcentral. Lineage: Eukaryota; Metazoa; Arthropoda; Malacostraca; Decapoda; Parastacidae.